GGAUGAACGCUGGCGGCGUGCCCAAUACAUGCAAGUCGAGCGAACGGACGAGAAGCUUGCUUCUCUGAUGUUAGCGGCGGACGGGUGAGUAACACGUGGAUAACCUACCUAUAAGACUGGGAUAACUUCGGGAAACCGGAGCUAAUACCGGAUAAUAUUUUGAACCGCAUGGUUCAAAAGUGAAAGACGGUCUUGCUGUCACUUAUAGAUGGAUCCGCGCUGCAUUAGCUAGUUGGUAAGGUAACGGCUUACCAAGGCAACGAUGCAUAGCCGACCUGAGAGGGUGAUCGGCCACACUGGAACUGAGACACGGUCCAGACUCCUACGGGAGGCAGCAGUAGGGAAUCUUCCGCAAUGGGCGAAAGCCUGACGGAGCAACGCCGCGUGAGUGAUGAAGGUCUUCGGAUCGUAAAACUCUGUUAUUAGGGAAGAACAUAUGUGUAAGUAACUGUGCACAUCUUGACGGUACCUAAUCAGAAAGCCACGGCUAACUACGUG
Molecule: ribosomal RNA, 498 nt
Filed under: uncultured bacterium
Lineage: Bacteria
Description: partial 16S ribosomal RNA
Rfam family: Bacterial small subunit ribosomal RNA
Source: RNAcentral